GAGGAUGAGAACCUCCGGGGGCAAGAGGUUCGACUCGAGCGAAGCGAGAGAACGUUGCGUCAGCAACGGCCCGCAGGGCGAGCCACGCAGUGGCGAGUCAUCCUC
RNAcentral lists this small RNA (105 nucleotides) under Salmonella enterica subsp. enterica serovar Infantis. RNAcentral's name for it is "RtT sRNA". It matches the Rfam family "RtT RNA", at positions 18 to 118 of the family's 130-position model. Rfam says of the family: This family represents a bacterial cis-regulatory element known as RtT RNA. The record is from RNAcentral. Lineage: Bacteria; Pseudomonadati; Pseudomonadota; Gammaproteobacteria; Enterobacterales; Enterobacteriaceae. RNAcentral also lists the same sequence under 3 other names.